GAAAUGCGAUAAGUAAUGUGAAUUGCAGAAUUCAGUGAAUCAUCGAAUCUUUGAACGCACAUUGCGCCCGCCAGCACUCUGGCGGGCAUGCCUGUCCGAGCGUCAUUACAACCCUCAGGCCCCCGGGCCUGGCGUUGGGGAUCGGCAGAAGCCCCCUGUGGGCACACGCCGUCCCUCAAAUACAGUGGCG
Molecule: unclassified non-coding RNA, 190 nt
Filed under: uncultured Ascomycota
Lineage: Eukaryota; Fungi; Ascomycota
Description: sequence contains ITS1
Rfam family: 5.8S ribosomal RNA (bases 1-105)
About the family: 5.8S ribosomal RNA (5.8S rRNA) is a component of the large subunit of the eukaryotic ribosome. It is transcribed by RNA polymerase I as part of the 45S precursor that also contains 18S and 28S rRNA.
Source: RNAcentral